Molecule: ribosomal RNA, 339 nt
Filed under: uncultured bacterium
Lineage: Bacteria
Description: partial 16S ribosomal RNA
Rfam family: Bacterial small subunit ribosomal RNA
Source: RNAcentral
CCUACGGGAGGCAGCAGUGAGGCAUAUUGGUCAAUGGACGAGAGCCUGAACCAGCCAAGUAGCGUGAAGGAUGACUGCCCUAUGGGUUGUAAACUUCUUUUAUAUGGGAAUAAAAUGUUCCACGUGUGGGCUUUUGUAUGUUCCAUAUGAAUAAGGAUCGGCUAAAUACGUGCCAGCCGCCUCGGUACUUCGGAGGAUCCGAGGGUUAUCCGGAUUUAUUGGGUUUAAAGGGAACGUAGGGUGAUUGUUAAGUCAGUUGUGAAAGUUUGCGGCUCAACCGUCAAAUUGCAGUGGAAACUGGCAGUCUUGAGUGCAGUAGAGGUGGGCGGAAUUCGUGGU